This 387-nucleotide ribosomal RNA is filed under the name uncultured bacterium. RNAcentral's name for it is "bacterial SSU rRNA". It matches the Rfam family "Bacterial small subunit ribosomal RNA", at positions 335 to 713 of the family's 1533-position model. The record is from RNAcentral.
ACUCCUACGGGAGGCAGCAGUGGGGAAUAUUGCACAAUGGGGGAAACCCGUGAUGCAGCCAUGCCGCGUGUGUGAAGAAGGCCUUCGGUUGUAAAGCACUUUCAGUAGGGAGGAAGGUAGUGUAGUUAACACCUGCACUAUUUGACGUUACCUACAGAAGAAGCACCGGCUAACUCCGUGCCAGCAGCCGCGGUAAUACGGAGGGUGCGAGCGUUAAUCGGAAUUACUGGGCGUAAAGCGCAUGCAGGCGGCCUGUUAAGUCAGAUGUGAAAGCCCGGGGUCUUAACCUCGGAAUUGCAUUUGAAACUGGCGAGGCUAGAGUCUUGUAGAGGGGUUAGAAUUUCAGGUGUAGCGGUGAAAUGCGUAGAGAUCUGAAGGAAUACCAGU